Long non-coding RNA from Carya illinoinensis, 241 nucleotides. RefSeq lists it as uncharacterized. Lineage: Eukaryota; Viridiplantae; Streptophyta; Magnoliopsida; Fagales; Juglandaceae. The record is from RefSeq and is a predicted model, not a curated record. The transcript is spliced from 3 exons.
UUGACCUCUUGAAAGAAUCUAAGAGCUUAAGGAUUUUCUGAAGUUAAAGGAAUUUCAGCGGAUCGAGGUACAGACGAAUCUACUGAGGAGCUGAGUAUUACUGAGGAGGGAGAGGCCGAUGUUUAGUAGUCCCUGGGUAGUUUGGUUUCUUCUAUGAUGAUAUAUGUUUCUUAUGUUUCAAUAAUGGAAACCCUCCUGCUUUAAGUUAGUUUUCUUUUGUAAUGACUAAAGGGACUGAGUC